RNAcentral lists this ribosomal RNA (253 nucleotides) under uncultured bacterium. Its description in RNAcentral is "partial 16S ribosomal RNA". It matches the Rfam family "Bacterial small subunit ribosomal RNA", at positions 524 to 776 of the family's 1533-position model. The record is from RNAcentral.
UACGUAGGGUGCGAGCGUUAAUCGGAAUUACUGGGCGUAAAGCGUGCGCAGGCGGCGCGUUAAGACAGGUGUGAAAGCCCCGAGCUUAACUUGGGAAUUGCGCUUGUGACUGGCGUGCUGGAGUGUGGCAGAGGGAGGUGGAAUUCCACGUGUAGCAGUGAAAUGCGUAGAGAUGUGGAGGAACACCGGUGGCGAAGGCGGCGACCUGGUCCAUUACUGACGCUGAGGCGCGACAGCGUGGGGAGCAAACAGG